RNAcentral lists this long non-coding RNA (667 nucleotides) under Nicotiana benthamiana. RNAcentral describes it as "long non-coding RNA (NBEN_LNC023588)". The record is from RNAcentral. Lineage: Eukaryota; Viridiplantae; Streptophyta; Magnoliopsida; Solanales; Solanaceae.
UGGACACAAAAAGAAGCAAGCAGCUUCUUCUUCAAAGAGGGGCUGCGCAGCAGAGACGCAAGGACAACUCCUUCCCCAUUGUUCUGCUUCAUCUCCAAGCGACCUAUCUCUCUUAAAACCUUUCGCAGCUCAACGCCACACACCCUCCCUUGAAACUUCAUCACCGUCGCACCCCACCACCCCUGAAACCAAACGGAGAUCUCUUCACUCAUGCCAACCACCACAGCCGAUGUUCACGAGUUCCUCAUUCAAGCUGUUGCUUCGCCGGAACUGAUCACCAGCGAGUGACAAUGCCCCUGGCACGGGUCUGGCCAUAAACUCCAAGACGCAGCCACGAUUCAAUCACUCAUACAAAAAAUUAAAAUACUCUGUUUUGUUCUUGCAUUUUCAUGACUCUCGUCUCAAAAAUCAGAGGCAUCGUUUUCUGAUUUUUGUUCCAAAGUGGAGGUGAUUUGAGAUCGUGUACGGUUCAAAAUUUCUUGUACUAAUUCAAGGUUUAAUCGAGGUGCUGUCCGUUGGUUUCCGGUUAGAGGUUCGUCAUGGUCGAUUUUGGGUCCGUUGAAUUGCAUUUCUGGUUUAUUUUCCGCAUUUCAAGUAUGUGCUUUUGAUUCAAAAUGUUGUAAAUGUGGCAGGAUGAUCUAUUGCACUGAAAUAUGUAAUAAUUAUU